ACAUGCAAGUCGAACGGUAGCACAGAGGAGCUUGCUCCUUGGGUGACGAGUGGCGGACGGGUGAGUAAUGUCUGGGAAACUGCCCGAUGGAGGGGGAUAACUACUGGAAACGGUAGCUAAUACCGCAUAACGUCGCAAGACCAAAGAGGGGGACCUUCGGGCCUCUUGCCAUCGGAUGUGCCCAGAUGGGAUUAGCUAGUAGGUGGGGUAACGGCUCACCUAGGCGACGAUCCCUAGCUGGUCUGAGAGGAUGACCAGCCACACUGGAACUGAGACACGGUCCAGACUCCUACGGGAGGCAGCAGUGGGGAAUAUUGCACAAUGGGCGCAAGCCUGAUGCAGCCAUGCCGCGUGUAUGAAGAAGGCCUUCGGGUUGUAAAGUACUUUCAGCGAGGAGG
This 398-nucleotide ribosomal RNA is filed under the name Citrobacter freundii. RNAcentral's name for it is "bacterial SSU rRNA". It matches the Rfam family "Bacterial small subunit ribosomal RNA", at positions 53 to 447 of the family's 1533-position model. The record is from RNAcentral. Lineage: Bacteria; Pseudomonadati; Pseudomonadota; Gammaproteobacteria; Enterobacterales; Enterobacteriaceae.